This 858-nucleotide ribosomal RNA is filed under the name uncultured Desulfocaldus sp. RNAcentral's name for it is "bacterial SSU rRNA". It matches the Rfam family "Bacterial small subunit ribosomal RNA", at positions 48 to 887 of the family's 1533-position model. Lineage: Bacteria; Deltaproteobacteria. The record is from RNAcentral.
CUAACACAUGCAAGUCGGACGCGAAAGCUCCUUCGGGAGUGAGUAGAGUGGCGCACGGGUGAGUAACGCGUAGGUAAUCUACCUCUGGAUUGGGGAUAACUCUGCGAAAGCGGAGCUAAUACCGAAUGGUCUGGCUUUAUUUUGAUGAAGUCGGUAAAGGAUGCCUCUGCAUAUGCAUCUGUCCGGAGAUGAGCCUGCGUCCCAUUAGCUAGUUGGUAGGGUAAAGGCCUACCAAGGCGACGAUGGGUAGCUGGUCUGAGAGGAUGAUCAGCCACACUGGAACUGGAACACGGUCCAGACUCCUACGGGAGGCAGCAGUGGGGAAUAUUGGGCAAUGGGCGCAAGCCUGACCCAGCAACGCCGUGUGAGGGAUGAAGGCCUUCGGGUCGUAAACCUCUGUCAGAAGGGAAGAACGGGCACAGUUCGAAUAGGGCUGUGUUUUGACGGUACCUUCAGAGGAAGCACCGGCUAACUCCGUGCCAGCAGCCGCGGUAAUACGGAGGGUGCGAGCGUUAUUCGGAAUCACUGGGCGUAAAGGGCGCGUAGGCGGCCUGGUAAGUCAGGGGUGAAAUCCCACGGCUCAACCGUGGAAUUGCCUUUGAAACUGCUGGGCUUGGAUCCUGGAGAGGGUGGCGGAAUUCCUGGUGUAGGAGUGAAAUCCGUAGAUAUCAGGAGGAACACCGGUGGCGAAGGCGGCCACCUGGACAGGUAUCGACGCUGAGGCGCGAAAGUGUGGGGGAGCAAACAGGAUUAGAUACCCUGGUAGUCCACACCGUAAACGAUGGAUACUAGGUGUUGGGGGCAUGACCCUCAGUGCCGGAGCUAACGCGUUAAGUAUCCCGCCUGGGGAGUACGGNC